GGUUAAGUGAAUAAGGGCGCACGGUGGAUGCCUUGGCACUAGGAGCCGAUGAAGGACGGGACUAACACCGAUAUGCUUCGGGGAGCUGUAAGUAAGCUUUGAUCCGGAGAUUUCCGAAUGGGGAAACCCAGCAUCUUUUAUAGGAUGUUACUUUUCAGUGAAUACAUAGCUGAUUAGAGGUAGACGCAGAGAACUGAAACAUCUAAGUACCUGCAGGAAGAGAAAGAAAAAUCGAUUCCCUGAGUAGCGGCGAGCGAAACGGGAAAAGCCCAAACCAAGAGGCUUGCCUCUUGGGGUUGUAGGACUCCGAUAUGGUAGUCCAGUGAGAUAGUCGAGGGACCUGGAAAGGUCUGCUAGAAAGGGUAAAAGCCCCGUAGACAAAAUUUGACUGGCACCUAGGAGGAUCCUGAGUA
This 413-nucleotide ribosomal RNA is filed under the name Enterococcus avium. Its description in RNAcentral is "partial 23S ribosomal RNA". It matches the Rfam family "Bacterial large subunit ribosomal RNA", at positions 1 to 414 of the family's 2925-position model. The record is from RNAcentral. Lineage: Bacteria; Bacillati; Bacillota; Bacilli; Lactobacillales; Enterococcaceae.